CCUACGGGUGGCAGCAGUGGGGGAUAUUGCACAAUGGGGGAAACCCUGAUGCAGCGACGCCGCGUGGGUGAAGAAGCGCCUCGGCGCGUAAAGCCCUGUCAGCAGGGGAGAAAAUGACGGUACCUGAAGAAGAAGCCCCGGCUAAUUACGUGCAGGCAGCGGCGGCAAUACGUAGGGGGCAAGCGUUAUCCGGAUUUACUGGGUGUAAAGGGGGCGUAGACGGCGAUGCAAGCCAGGAGUGAAAGCCCGGGGCCCAACCCCGGGACUGCACUUGGAACUGGGUGGCUAGAGUGCAGGAGGGGCAGGCGGAAUUCCUGGUGUAGCGGUGAAAUGCGUAGAUAUCAGGAGGAACACCGGUGGCGAAGGCGGCCUGCUGGACUGCAACUGACGUUGAGGCCCGAAAGCGUGGGGAGCAAACAGGAUUAGAUACCCUAGUAGUC
RNAcentral lists this ribosomal RNA (440 nucleotides) under uncultured bacterium. RNAcentral describes it as "partial 16S ribosomal RNA". It matches the Rfam family "Bacterial small subunit ribosomal RNA", at positions 338 to 795 of the family's 1533-position model. The record is from RNAcentral.